Molecule: small nuclear RNA, 191 nt
Gene: U2
Rfam family: U2 spliceosomal RNA
About the family: U2 is a small nuclear RNA (snRNA) component of the spliceosome (involved in pre-mRNA splicing). Complementary binding between U2 snRNA (in an area lying towards the 5' end but 3' to hairpin I) and the branchpoint sequence (BPS) of the intron results the bulging out of an unpaired adenosine, on the BPS, which initiates a nucleophilic attack at the intronic 5' splice site, thus starting the first of two transesterification reactions that mediate splicing.
Source: Ensembl
AUCGAUUCUCAGCCUUUUGGCUAUGAUCAGGUGUCGUCUCUGUUCUUGUCAGUUUAAUAUCUGAUACGUCCUCUAUCUGAGGACAAUAUAUUACUUGGAUUUUUGGAGCAGGGAGAUGGAAUAGGAGCUUGCUCCGUCCACUCCACGCAUUGACCUGGUAUUGCAGCACUUCCAGGAAUGGUGCACACACA